GACGAACGCUGGCGGCGUGCCUAAUACAUGCAAGUAGAACGCUGAAGGAGGAGCUUGCUCUUCUGGAUGAGUUGCGAACGGGUGAGUAACGCGUAGGUAACCUGCCUGGUAGCGGGGGAUAACUAUUGGAAACGAUAGCUAAUACCGCAUAACAGUAGAUGUUGCAUGACAUUUUCUUAAAAGGUGCAAUUGCAUCACUACCAGAUGGACCUGCGUUGUAUUAGCUAGUUGGUGGGGUAACGGCUCACCAAGGCGACGAUACAUAGCCGACCUGAGAGGGGGAUCGGCCACACUGGGACUGAGACACGGCCCAGACUCCUACGGGAGGCAGCAGUAGGGAAUCUUCGGCAAUGGACGGAAGUCUGACCGAGCAACGCCGCGUGAGUGAAGAAGGGUUUCGGAUCGUAAAGCUCUGUUGUAAGAGAAGAACGAGUGUGAGAGUGGAAAGUUCACACUGUGACGGUAUCUUACCAGAAAGGGACGGCUAACUACGUG
Molecule: ribosomal RNA, 495 nt
Filed under: uncultured bacterium
Lineage: Bacteria
Description: partial 16S ribosomal RNA
Rfam family: Bacterial small subunit ribosomal RNA
Source: RNAcentral